AUUGAACGCUGGCGGCAUGCCUUACACAUGCAAGUCGAACGGUAACGGGCCUUCGGGUGCCGACGAGUGGCGAACGGGUGAGUAAUGCAUCGGAACGUACCUUUCAGUGGGGGAUAACGUAGCGAAAGUUACGCUAAUACCGCAUAUUCUGUGAGCAGGAAAGCAGGGGAUCGCAAGACCUUGCGCUCUGGGAGCGGCCGAUGUCGGAUUAGCUAGUUGGUGGGGUAAAGGCCUACCAAGGCGACGAUCCGUAGCGGGUCUGAGAGGAUGAUCCGCCACACUGGGACUGAGACACGGCCCAGACUCCUACGGGAGGCAGCAGUGGGGAAUUUUGGACAAUGGGCGGAAGCCUGAUCCAGCCAUGCCGCGUGAGUGAAGAAGGCCUUCGGUUGUAAAGCACUUUGGCGGGACGAAACGGCGCUUUCUAAUACAGAGCGCUAAUGACGGUACCCGCAGAAUAAGACACCGGCUAAACUACGUGCCAGCAGCCGCGU
RNAcentral lists this ribosomal RNA (494 nucleotides) under uncultured bacterium. RNAcentral describes it as "bacterial SSU rRNA". It matches the Rfam family "Bacterial small subunit ribosomal RNA", at positions 30 to 520 of the family's 1533-position model. The record is from RNAcentral.